This 810-nucleotide ribosomal RNA is filed under the name Pseudomonas sp. EP_R_6. Its description in RNAcentral is "bacterial SSU rRNA". It matches the Rfam family "Bacterial small subunit ribosomal RNA", at positions 37 to 842 of the family's 1533-position model. The record is from RNAcentral. Lineage: Bacteria; Pseudomonadati; Pseudomonadota; Gammaproteobacteria; Pseudomonadales; Pseudomonadaceae.
UGGCGGCAGGCCUAACACAUGCAAGUCGAGCGGUAGAGAGGUGCUUGCACCUCUUGAGAGCGGCGGACGGGUGAGUAAUGCCUAGGAAUCUGCCUGGUAGUGGGGGAUAACGCUCGGAAACGGACGCUAAUACCGCAUACGUCCUACGGGAGAAAGCAGGGGACCUUCGGGCCUUGCGCUAUCAGAUGAGCCUAGGUCGGAUUAGCUAGUUGGUGGGGUAAUGGCUCACCAAGGCGACGAUCCGUAACUGGUCUGAGAGGAUGAUCAGUCACACUGGAACUGAGACACGGUCCAGACUCCUACGGGAGGCAGCAGUGGGGAAUAUUGGACAAUGGGCGAAAGCCUGAUCCAGCCAUGCCGCGUGUGUGAAGAAGGUCUUCGGAUUGUAAAGCACUUUAAGUUGGGAGGAAGGGCAUUAACCUAAUACGUUAGUGUUUUGACGUUACCGACAGAAUAAGCACCGGCUAACUCUGUGCCAGCAGCCGCGGUAAUACAGAGGGUGCAAGCGUUAAUCGGAAUUACUGGGCGUAAAGCGCGCGUAGGUGGUUUGUUAAGUUGGAUGUGAAAGCCCCGGGCUCAACCUGGGAACUGCAUUCAAAACUGACAAGCUAGAGUAUGGUAGAGGGUGGUGGAAUUUCCUGUGUAGCGGUGAAAUGCGUAGAUAUAGGAAGGAACACCAGUGGCGAAGGCGACCACCUGGACUGAUACUGACACUGAGGUGCGAAAGCGUGGGGAGCAAACAGGAUUAGAUACCCUGGUAGUCCACGCCGUAAACGAUGUCAACUAGCCGUUGGGAGCCUUGAGCUCUUA